GACGAACGCUGGCGGCGUGCCUAACACAUGCAAGUCGAACGGUUAAAGCACCUUUUAGGUGUGUAUAAAGUGGCGAACGGCUGAGUAACACGUGGGCAACCUGCCCUCCUCUUGGGGAUAGCCUCGGGAAACCGAGGAUAAUACCCGAUACUUCAAUGUGGCCGCAUGACGACAUUGAGAAAGCUUUUGCGGAGAAGGAUGGGCCCGCGGCCUGUUAGCUUGUUGGUGGGGUAGAGGCCUACCAAGGCAAUGAUGGGUAGCUGGGUUGAGAGACCGACCAGCCAGAUUGGGACUGAGACACGGCCCAGACUCCUACGGGAGGCAGCAGUGGGGAAUCUUGCACAAUGGGCGAAAGCCUGAUGCAGCGACGCCGCGUGCGGGACGAAGGCCUUCGGGUUGUAAACCGCUUUCAGCAGGGACGAGGCGUA
This 428-nucleotide ribosomal RNA is filed under the name Lancefieldella rimae. Its description in RNAcentral is "bacterial SSU rRNA". It matches the Rfam family "Bacterial small subunit ribosomal RNA", at positions 28 to 454 of the family's 1533-position model. The record is from RNAcentral. Lineage: Bacteria; Bacillati; Actinomycetota; Coriobacteriia; Coriobacteriales; Atopobiaceae.